UAAAGGGAUUUUUUUUUUUUUGGAGUAAUAAAAAGGCUGUAUUAGCCUGAACUCAAGCCCUGCUUCCCGCCUUUCUCAUUUGGUGUAGUUCUAAAGCGGUUCCUUCUGCUUCUGCUUCUGCUUCUGCUUCCAUCCCACUUCAACAAGACUCAAUGGGCAUCAAGGGUUUAACCAAGCUUUUAGCUGAUAAUGCCCCCAAGGGCAUGAAGGAGCAGAAGUUCGAAGCCUAUUUCGGCCGUAAAAUUGCUAUUGAUGCUAGCAUGAGUAUUUAUCAAUUUCUUAUUGUUGUGGGUAGAAGUGGGACUGAGAUGCUCACCAACGAAGCUGGUGAAGUCACUAGCCAUUUGCAAGGGAUGUUUAACCGAACAAUAAGGCUUCUCGAAGCUGGAAUUAAGCCAGUCUAUGUCUUUGAUGGAAAGCCUCCUGAUUUGAAAAAACAAGAACUUGCAAAACGCUAUUCAAAGAGAGCAGAUGCCACUGAGGACCUAGCAGAUGCAAUCGAGGUUGGCAACAAGGAUGAUAUUGAGAAAUUCAGUAAAAGGACAGUAAAGGUUACAAAGCAGCACAAUGAUGACUGCAAAAGACUUUUGAGACUCAUGGGAGUGCCUGUGAUCGAGGCUCCCUCGGAAGCUGAGGCACAAUGUGCUGCACUUUGCAAGUUAGGAAAGGUUUAUGCUGUGGCAUCAGAAGACAUGGAUUCACUAACAUUUGGAUCUCCCAGAUUUCUUCGUCACUUAAUGGAUCCCAGCUCAAGGAAGAUCCCAGUUAUGGAAUUUGAAGUGGCAAAGAUUUUGGAAGAGCUGAACCUCACCAUGGAUCAAUUUAUUGAUUUGUGCAUUCUUUCUGGAUGUGAUUAUUGUGACAAUAUCCGAGGUAUUGGGGGGCUGACUGCUCUAAAGCUUAUCCGUCAACAUGGGUCUAUAGAGAGUAUAUUAGAGAACAUAAAUAAAGAGAGGUACCAAAUUCCAGAUGAUUGGCCUUAUAAAGAGGCUCGACAGCUUUUCAAAGAACCACUAGUAUGUACUGACGAAGAGCAACUUGACAUUAAGUGGACUACUCCAGACGAAGAAGGCUUAUUAACAUUUUUGGUGAAUGAGAAUGGGUUCAACAGUGAGAGAGUGACAAAGGCAGUAGAAAAAAUUAAAGCAGCCAAGAACAAGUCAUCACAGGGCCGGAUGGAGUCAUUUUUCAAGCCUGUUACUAAUCCUUCAGUAUCCAUUAAACGAAAGGUAAACAAAUGUGUACUUAGGUCUCCCAAACCAGGAGCCCAACAUAAAUUCUCCUUACAAGCAUUUUAUUUUUCAAGGUCAAAGGUCAUUGGCAGCCUAGGCAUGUCAAUGUUAGACCAUUCGUCCAAGUACUCUGGGUCAGGCCCAUUAGUUAUGGCUGCAUGCUUCAGCACAUAAAGCUGAAAACCCUGGUGAAAUUGUAGAACUAAUCUAUGUAAUUCAAGUAAUUACACUUGGUGCAUAUGUAGUCGCUUUCAGAACUGUACUUGAAAAUCUUCAUCCUUAAUUCCCUUAAACCUUAUUGUACCACUACAAGUGAAUAAGAGUGGAAACUAUUAUUAAGGAGCUCAAGGUGCUGGAUUUGGCAGAGUUCUGGUUAAUUGAAACCCAUCAUCUGGUUCUUUAAUAUUCAGAAUAUUGGCGUGCAGUGUAGACGCAGUUUUGACGCAUUGUCCUGAAGUUGUGGUGAAGAAACAUCAGAAAAGCCUACCAAACAAGCAAUAACGAAGAAAUCGAAGUUCGGUGGUAGUAAAAGAAAGUAGGUGAGUUGGUUGCAUCACCAUUCUCAAAUUAGUAUAUAACUAACUUGAUGUCUUUAGUAAGAUUUGUUUUUAAGUUUUCGUUGGCUGUAAUUGUUGAAGUUGCAUGUUAUAGGACUAAUUUUCUUGUAUUUAUAUGACAUCGGUGUGCAAUUUUAGAAGGUAACUACAAUCUAUCAUUACUUCCUCCCUCAGUAAUCAAUAUCGUGUUUCUGUUCA
RNA transcript from Cucumis sativus (cucumber), 1987 nucleotides. It is a transcript of the gene named flap endonuclease 1, with no coding region annotated. The record is from RefSeq and is a predicted model, not a curated record. Lineage: Eukaryota; Viridiplantae; Streptophyta; Magnoliopsida; Cucurbitales; Cucurbitaceae. The transcript has 18 exons.